Molecule: unclassified non-coding RNA, 356 nt
Filed under: Hevea brasiliensis (rubber tree)
Lineage: Eukaryota; Viridiplantae; Streptophyta; Magnoliopsida; Malpighiales; Euphorbiaceae
Source: RNAcentral
UUUUUUUUUUUUUUUUGUAAAUUGAGAAUUUGGACAUUUAAUUAGACUUAAUUAGGGCUUAAAUUGAGUUAAUUGGAGUGAAAGACAACUCACACGGCGUUUUUGUUAAGUCAUUGUAAUUAGACAAAUAUAAAGAACACAGAGUUUAAUUGAUAAUUUUUUUUAGUUUAGGAAAGAAUUGCAAAAAUUUUGUAAGUUUAAGAUUUUUUUUUCGGUAAUUUCCACUUUAUUUAAUGAAAGUGUUCUUUUUCUGUGAGAGUAUCAUGAGGAGCAAUCCUUUUUUGGUUCUUUCCAUGGUGUAUCCUUAUGUUGAUAGUACUGUGGAGUUGCCUGACUUAUUUGCAUCUGCCUACAGG